AUACAGAAGCCUCAAGCGUUACCCGGAUUCACUGGGCGUAAAGGGUUCGUAGGCGGUUAUAUUAGUCAGACGUUAAAUCCUGAGGCUCAACCUCAGGCUCGCGUUUGAAACGGUAUAACUAGAAGAAGUGAGAGGUAAACAGAACUCAUGGUGUAGGGGUGAAAUCCGUUGAUAUCAUGGGGAAUACCAAAUGCGAAGGCAGUUUACUGGCACUUUCUUGACGCUGAGGAACGAAAGCUAGGGUAGCGAACGGGAUUAGAAACCCCGGUAGUCC
This 274-nucleotide ribosomal RNA is filed under the name uncultured bacterium. RNAcentral describes it as "partial 16S ribosomal RNA". It matches the Rfam family "Bacterial small subunit ribosomal RNA", at positions 523 to 796 of the family's 1533-position model. The record is from RNAcentral.